RNAcentral lists this ribosomal RNA (562 nucleotides) under uncultured bacterium. RNAcentral's name for it is "bacterial SSU rRNA". It matches the Rfam family "Bacterial small subunit ribosomal RNA", at positions 338 to 916 of the family's 1533-position model. The record is from RNAcentral.
CCUACGGGAGGCAGCAGUGGGGAAUCUUGCGCAAUGGGCGAAAGCCUGACGCAGCCAUGCCGCGUGAAUGAUGAAGGUCUUAGGAUUGUAAAAUUCUUUCACCGGGGACGAUAAUGACGGUACCCGGAGAAGAAGCCCCGGCUAACUUCGUGCCAGCAGCCGCGGUAAUACGAAGGGGGCUAGCGUUGCUCGGAAUUACUGGGCGUAAAGGGAGCGUAGGCGGAUAGUUUAGUCAGAGGUGAAAGCCCAGGGCUCAACCUUGGAAUUGCCUUUGAUACUGGCUAUCUUGAGUGUGGGAGAGGUAUGUGGAACUCCGAGUGUAGAGGUGAAAUUCGUAGAUAUUCGGAAGAACACCAGUGGCGAAGGCGACAUACUGGCCCAUUACUGACGCUGAGGCUCGAAAGCGUGGGGAGCAAACAGGAUUAGAUACCCUGGUAGUCCACGCUGUAAACGAUGAGUGCUAGUUGUCGGCAUGCAUGCAUGUCGGUGACGCAGCUAACGCAUUAAGCACUCCGCCUGGGGAGUACGGUCGCAAGAUUAAAACUCAAAAUGAAAUUGACGG